CCUACGGGUGGCUGCAGUGAGGAAUUUUCCACAAUGGGCGAAAGCCUGAUGGAGCAAUGCCGCGUGCAGGAUGAAGGCCUUAGGGUUGUAAACUGCUUUUAUACGUGAAGAAUAUGACGGUAACGUAUGAAUAAGGAUCGGCUAACUCCGUGCCAGCAGCCGCGGUCAUACGGAGGAUCCAAGCGUUAUCCGGAUUUACUGGGCGUAAAGAGUUGCGUAGGUGGUAAUUCAAGUGAAUAGUGAAAUCUUGUGGCUCAACCAUAAGGCUAUUAUUCAAACUGAGUUACUCGAGAAUGAGAGAGGUCACUGGAAUUCCCUGUGUAGGAGUGAAAUCCGUAGAUAUAGGGAGGAACACCAAUGGCGUAGGCAGGUGACUGGCUCAUAUCUGACACUGAGGCACGAAAGCGUGGGGAGCGAACGGGCUUAGAUACCCCAGUAGUC
RNAcentral lists this ribosomal RNA (441 nucleotides) under uncultured bacterium. RNAcentral's name for it is "bacterial SSU rRNA". It matches the Rfam family "Bacterial small subunit ribosomal RNA", at positions 338 to 795 of the family's 1533-position model. The record is from RNAcentral.